RNAcentral lists this ribosomal RNA (433 nucleotides) under uncultured bacterium. RNAcentral describes it as "partial 16S ribosomal RNA". It matches the Rfam family "Bacterial small subunit ribosomal RNA", at positions 29 to 507 of the family's 1533-position model. The record is from RNAcentral.
AACGAACGCUGGCGGCAUGCCUAACACAUGCAAGUCGAACGAGACCUUCGGGUCUAGUGGCGCACGGGUGCGUAACGCGUGGGAACCUGCCCUUAGGUUCGGAAUAACUCCCCGCAAGGGGUGCUAAUACCGGAUAAUGUCUUCGGACCAAAGAUUUAUCGCCUUUGGAUGGGCCCGCGUUGGAUUAGCUAGUUGGUAGGGUAAAAGCCUACCAAGGCGACGAUCCAUAGCUGGUCUGAGAGGAUGAUCAGCCACACUGGGAGUGAGACACGGCCCAGACUCCUACGGGAGGCAGCAGUGGGGAAUAUUGGACAAUGGGCGAAAGCCUGAUCCAGCAAUGCCGCGUGAGUGAUGAAGGCCUUAGGGUUGUAAAGCUCUUUUACCCGGGAUGAUAAUGACAGUACCGUGAGAAUAAGCGCCGGCUAACUCCGUG